CAUAUGCAAGGGGCCUGGCAAGCCAUAGGGCCCAAAACAAACAUCCAGGUAUCUCCCUGGGUCUUUGCAGAGUCUCACAGCAUUACAGUCAUCUCUGCUGAAGGUCCACACUGUCACAAGCCCCAGGUUUCAUAGCAUUAGACAUGUUACCACAUCAAUGCUCCCAUACCACAUGGUGCCUGGGUUUACAAGAAGAGUCUUUACCAAACAGAAUUUAAGGUUGAAAGCUUCU
Non-coding RNA from Pelobates cultripes (western spadefoot toad), 232 nucleotides. The record is from the annotation of a GenBank genome assembly. NCBI's taxonomy places the organism in Eukaryota, Metazoa, Chordata, Amphibia, Anura, Pelobatidae.